CAACUGUUUACUUUAUUUGGUUUAAUGUAACCAUGUUCAUUUCACCUUCACCUUUCACAAAAUAACAUGAACCCAAAUAGUCGCUAAUUUGACAGGUUGAUCAGUUCCAAACAAAAAUGUACAAAUUAAAGCACUUUUUGCAAAGAAAAACUGAUAGUCUCAAAAAGAGUGAACAGGAGUCGAGCAGUUUCUACAUGUCUACACACUAUUUACCAUUUCGGAGAUACCAAUGUGAAGAAAAAAGUGACGGAGCAAGUGAACUUAUGGACUUCGAAGUUAUGAAAUCAGCAUCUAAUGUUGUUGACAAGGUUGAUGUUACAAUCAAAGAUAGACUUGGACUUUCAACAAAAGACUGCCUGGGAUGCAAGAUUGUCUCAUCCAUGUCAUUGAUUGGAAUAUUCUCUCUUCUGAGUUUCCAAGCGAGAAAAUUAAAACAUCCUCAGCCAGAAAGGACAACAAGAACAAUUAGCACAUUGAUUUUAGCUUUCUGUUGUGUGUCACUUUUAAGAAGAGUUUGGACUGAUCGUAAACCUGAUUCGGAUAAAAACAGUUGAUAUGUUAUUUACCUGUAUAAAUAAAUAUGAUGAACUAUAAA
Molecule: long non-coding RNA, 595 nt
Organism: Mya arenaria
Lineage: Eukaryota; Metazoa; Mollusca; Bivalvia; Myida; Myidae
Exons: 3
Source: RefSeq, a predicted model, not a curated record